GCCUACGGGGGGCAGCAGUAGGGAAUUUUCGUCAAUGGGCGCAAGCCUGAACGAGCAAUGCCGCGUGAACGAGGAAGGUCUUCGGAUCGUAAAGUUCUGUUGAAGGGGAAAAAGAGCGGAGAGAGGAAAUGGUCUCCGAUUGAUAUUACCCUUCGAGGAAGUCACGGCUAACUACGUGCCAGCAGCCGCGGUAAUACGUAGGUGGCGAGCGUUACCCGGAAUGAUUGGGCGUAAAGGGUGCGUAGGCGGCCUGCUAAGUCUGGAGUGAAAGGUACCGGCUCAACCGGUACAGGCUCUGGAAACUG
RNAcentral lists this ribosomal RNA (305 nucleotides) under uncultured bacterium. RNAcentral describes it as "bacterial SSU rRNA". It matches the Rfam family "Bacterial small subunit ribosomal RNA", at positions 337 to 635 of the family's 1533-position model. The record is from RNAcentral.